Molecule: ribosomal RNA, 387 nt
Filed under: Prasinoderma sp.
Lineage: Eukaryota; Viridiplantae; Prasinodermophyta; Prasinodermophyceae; Prasinodermales; Prasinodermaceae
Description: partial small subunit ribosomal RNA
Rfam family: Eukaryotic small subunit ribosomal RNA
Source: RNAcentral
AUUCCAGCUCCAAUAGCGUAUAUUUAAGUUGUUGCAGUUAAAAAGCUCGUAGUUGGAUUUUGGGUCGGGGGUACCGGUCCGCCGUUUCGGUGUGCACAGGUCUCCCCUUCCUUUCUGCCGGGGACGGCGUUUGCUCUUAAUUGGGCGGCGUCGGAGUCGGCGUUGUUACUUUGAAAAGAUUAGAGUGUUCAAAGCAAGCCAUCGCUCUGAAUACAUUAGCAUGGAAUAACAUGAUAGGACUCUGGUCUUAUUUAGUUGGUUUCCGAGACUGGAGUAAUGAUUAAGAGGGACAGUCGGGGGCAUCCGUAUUUCAUUGUCGGAGGUGAAAUUCUUGGAUUUAUGAAAGACGAACUUCUGCGAAAGCAUUUGCCAAGGAUGUUUUCAUCG